This is a long non-coding RNA of Bicyclus anynana (squinting bush brown), 1296 nucleotides long. RefSeq lists it as uncharacterized. Lineage: Eukaryota; Metazoa; Arthropoda; Insecta; Lepidoptera; Nymphalidae. The record is from RefSeq and is a predicted model, not a curated record. The transcript is spliced from 2 exons.
UUGUUUAUUAAAGUUUAUCGCUUGCAACUAAAGAUGUCCGGGAAACUCAAUGAUCGCCUUGGCUUGGAUCAAACUUGGCGAUGGGUUGUUUUGGAGGGCCUUUGGAAAGUCAGGCUACUAAAUAAACCUUCCGUGUUCGCGUCUGCCAGUGGCGUUGUAUCAACAUGAAGAUGUGGGCUCUAAACUUUGAGUGCCAGGGACUGACUAUGGAAGUCUCCAUGUCGCUGGUCACCAUUGAGGUGCAAAACACCUUGAAAAAAUUGGUGAUUCUGAAUCCUUCAUCUCUAUGAACGAUUCAUGAAGAAAGAAUUAAACAAACAUUUAAUGAACAGAUUUUUUAUAAGAUUAUUAUCAAUAAUGACAUUGCAUAUGAGAGAAAAUUGUCAAAUAUAAUUUCAUUUUAAUUUAAUAUAGUUAAUUAUGACAUCACUGUAUAUAAAGAAUAUGAUUAUUAUCAUUUGGUUAAUUUCAGUAUUACAUAGUAUUAGAUAAAAAUUUUAUUGUAAAAUUGCACAUCAAAAUAUGUUUUAUUAUCUAUUAUUAGGAGGAAAUAUUAUUUAACUAUUAUUAUUAUCCCUAAUAGCCCAGUGAAUGUGACCUCUGCCUCCAAUUCCGGAGGGUGUGAGGUUGAACCCGUUCCGGGGCACGCACCUCCAACUUUUCAGUUGUGUGCAUUUUAAGAAACUAAAUAUCACGUGUCUCAAACAGUGAAGGAAAACAUCGUGAGGAAACCUGCAUACCAGAGAAUUCUCUUAAUUCUCUGCAUAUGUGAUGUCUACCAAUGUAAUCCAAAUAUGCUGGCCCAUAUUCGGCUCCUGUCAGAAUGAGAGGGGUUAGGCAUUGGCCUUCCCUUACCUUAUCAGCCGAUAGACGUCCACUGCUGGACAUAGGCCUCUUACAUGGACCUCCAAGCACAACGACCUUGAGCCGCGAACAUCCAACCAACCGACCAACCACGCUUUCCAGUGCGGGGUCUCCCGAGUGCGGGUAGGCACUAACCCCUCUUACUGAGGGAGACUCGAGCUCAGCAGUGAGCCGAAUAUGUGUUUAUAAUGAUGAUGAUGAUGAUGAUUAUUAUUUAAGUAAUUGUAAAAGAAAAAAUUGAAUACUACAUUAGUUGUUUAUCUAUACAAUUCAAUAAUUUUAAGAACAAAACAUGUACCUACCACAUUGUAGGAAAUAAAUAAAUAAUGAUUUGAUUAAAAACAAUGUUGUUUAAUGUUAAGCAGGUAGGGCCAGGUAGUUCUAUAUUUGUGUAACAUCUAUUACUUAAAAAUAAAAAAUAUAUUUACUUGU